Long non-coding RNA from Hyla sarda, 1519 nucleotides. RefSeq lists it as uncharacterized. The record is from RefSeq and is a predicted model, not a curated record. NCBI's taxonomy places the organism in Eukaryota, Metazoa, Chordata, Amphibia, Anura, Hylidae. The transcript is spliced from 4 exons.
GGUUGCUAUGGGCAACUCAGCAACUUUUCCGCUUGGCAGGUUCUGCUAAUUCUCCCCCAUUGAGUGUACAGGAAUGGAAUCAUCAUUUCAUCAUCACUCUGGCAGCGCUCCGGACCCGUCACCGCUGCCCUGGAUGUCGCCCUCCAUCGCUGUCGUGCGCCCCGGGGGUGUCCCCGUCGCUCCGGAACAUCUCUGCUGCCCGUCACUACAUCACGUCACUACACACGCCGCUCCUAUUGGAUGACGGGUCGCCAUGCGUGACGACGACGAAGGAGAGCGCCGGCCAUGCAGCGGAUCCCGGCACGGAGCAGACGCCGAGGAGACAGAUGAGACAGAAGAAAGUUGUAACCAGGCCAGGUACAUUAUACAGAAUCGUAUCAGUUGUUUUAUCAGCAGGGAAGGAGCACAGAGCUUGGGCUACUUUUACAUCUGGUUUAAAAGGUAAAUAAGGUGACUACUGAGAAGCUUGUCAAGUUGUGGGAUAUAUUACACAUUUAGCCAGUUGUAAGAAUGACUACAUUUGCAUGGCUAGACGACUGGAUCAGAGCAUCUCCAAAUACGGCUGUGGUCUCAGUAUGUCAUGGUUAUUACACAACAAAAGUGGCCCAAAGAAGGACAAUGACUGUAACCAGGAGACAGGGUCAUGGGCACACAAGGCAUGGGGAGUGAAAACUAGCUCAUCUGGUCCAAAGCCACAGAUCACCUACUGUAGCAAUAAUGGCUGAAAAGGGUUAAUGCUGGCUAUGAUAGAAAAUGUCAGCACACACAGUGCCUAACAGCCUGCUAUUAAUAGGCCUUGUAUACCCUUCAGAGUGCACAUGUAAUGUUCAGCUACAAACCUUGGGUCCUGGUCCUGUGGAUGUUACUCUAACACAUACCACUUACAGUACCUAAACAUUGUUGCUGACCAAGUUGUUUUUACCCCAGCCUGAGCACAUUUAAACAUGAAAAUAAUUUCUUGGAUACACCCUUUAACCCCAGGAAGACUGCCCUAACUAUUGAGAUGCAGAACAGGUCGCCGAUGCUUGCAGUCCAUUAAAGGUUAAAUUUGACAGCCCUGUGUGCACCUGUACCCAGAGCCCUGGGCAGGAUUGGGCUGCACUGUACUGUGAUAGGAAACUGAAAUAAAUGAGUGCUGAGCUGUUAAAUGCAGAAGCAAAGCACUGCUUCCGUAUUUGGGUGGUUGCUGGGAAAGCCUGUGAUCUAAAGAGGCUGUUACCAUUAGACCAGUUUUAUUAGUAAGAGCAUAGAACACAUAUAAAAAAAUAUAUGUUCCCUGCUACUCCAUGCCCCCGUGGAAAUAAAAAAAACUAAAGUUAAAUAAAUAAAUACAAAAGUAACAACAUUUAUCAUGGUAAUACCAUGGCCCUCCCAUGAUCAUAAUUUUACUAUAUAUUUGGAAGACAUUUACUGUAUGUUUCGAACAACCAAACUAAAGGUCCAAGAGUUAAAGUUAUCACGUAUUCACAAGAAGAGGGAAUAACUAGUUGAUUCUGGGAGGUACGACUACUGGGAACCA